This is a regulatory RNA element of Tatumella ptyseos ATCC 33301, 126 nucleotides long. It matches the Rfam family "Phenylalanine leader peptide". NCBI's taxonomy places the organism in Bacteria, Pseudomonadati, Pseudomonadota, Gammaproteobacteria, Enterobacterales, Erwiniaceae. The record is from Rfam.
UAUGCAACCCCUCGUGUUUUUCUUCUCAUUCUUUUUUAGCAUGCCUUCUUCCGGGAGAGAUGUUGUCGUAUAAGAAUGAAUGAGAAGACAAACAGCAAAGCCUCCCGUAAGGGGGGCUUUUUUAUU